RNAcentral lists this ribosomal RNA (497 nucleotides) under uncultured bacterium. RNAcentral's name for it is "partial 16S ribosomal RNA". It matches the Rfam family "Bacterial small subunit ribosomal RNA", at positions 28 to 507 of the family's 1533-position model. The record is from RNAcentral.
GACGAACGCUGGCGGCGUGCCUAAUACAUGCAAGUUGAGCGCUGAAGGUUGGUACUUGUACCGACUGGAUGAGCAGCGAACGGGUGAGUAACGCGUGGGGAAUCUGCCUUUGAGCGGGGGACAACAUUUGGAAACGAAUGCUAAUACCGCAUAAAAACUUUAAACACAAGUUUUAAGUUUGAAAGAUGCAAUUGCAUCACUCAAAGAUGAUCCCGCGUUGUAUUAGCUAGUUGGUGAGGUAAAGGCUCACCAAGGCGAUGAUACAUAGCCGACCUGAGAGGGUGAUCGGCAACAUUGGGACUGAGACACGGCCCAAACUACUACGGGAGGCAGCAGUAGGGAAUCUUCGGCAAUGGACGAAAGUCUGACCGAGCAACGCCGCGUGAGUGAAGAAGGGUUUCGGAUCGUAAAACUCGGUUGGUAGAGAAGAACGUUGGUGAGAGUGGAAAGCUCAUCAAGUGACGGUAACUACCCAGAAAGGGACGGCUAACUACGUG